RNAcentral lists this ribosomal RNA (253 nucleotides) under uncultured bacterium. Its description in RNAcentral is "partial 16S ribosomal RNA". It matches the Rfam family "Bacterial small subunit ribosomal RNA", at positions 524 to 776 of the family's 1533-position model. The record is from RNAcentral.
UACAGAGGUCCCAAGCGUUGUUCGGAUUCACUGGGCGUAAAGGGCGCGUAGGCGGUGAGGUAAGUCGGAUGUGAAAGCUCGGAGCUCAACUCCGAAAUGGCAUUGGAAACUACCUUGCUCGAGGGUUGGAGGGGGGACUGGAAUGCUUGGUGUAGCAGUGAAAUGCGUAGAUAUCAAGCGGAACACCAGUGGCGAAGGCGAGUCCCUGGACAACUCCUGACACUGAGGCACGAAAGCUAGGGGAGCAAACAGG